UACAGAGGUCUCAAGCGUUGUUCGGAUUCAUUGGGCGUAAAGGGUGCGUAGGCGGCGCGGUAAGUCGGGUGUGAAAUCUUGGAGCUUAACUCCGAAACUGCAUUCGAUACUGCCGUGCUUGAGGACUGGAGAGGAGACUGGAAUUUACGGUGUAGCGGUGAAAUGCGCAGAUAUCGGGAGGAACACCGGUGGCGAAGGCGGUUCUCUGGGCCUGACCUGACGCUGAGGAGCGAAAGCGUGGGGAGCGAACAGG
This 253-nucleotide ribosomal RNA is filed under the name uncultured bacterium. Its description in RNAcentral is "partial 16S ribosomal RNA". It matches the Rfam family "Bacterial small subunit ribosomal RNA", at positions 524 to 776 of the family's 1533-position model. The record is from RNAcentral.